UUUGGCAGUAAUGGCGAGAAGGACACACCCGUUCCCAUCCCGAACACGGAAGUUAAGCUUUUCAGCGUCAAUGGUAGUGGAGGAUUUCCCUCUGUGAGAGUAGAACACUGCCAAGC
Molecule: ribosomal RNA, 116 nt
Filed under: Bacillus chungangensis
Lineage: Bacteria; Bacillati; Bacillota; Bacilli; Caryophanales; Bacillaceae
Source: RNAcentral